GUCUAUGGCCAUGCCACCCUGAACAAGCCCGAUCCUGUCUGAUCUCGGAAGCUAAGCAGGGUCGGGCCUGGUUAGUACUUGGAUAGGAGACCACCUAGGAAGACCAGGUAGGUGCUGUAGGCA
RNAcentral lists this ribosomal RNA (123 nucleotides) under Pteropus alecto (black flying fox). Lineage: Eukaryota; Metazoa; Chordata; Mammalia; Chiroptera; Pteropodidae. The record is from RNAcentral.